Molecule: long non-coding RNA, 1830 nt
Organism: Manis pentadactyla (Chinese pangolin)
Lineage: Eukaryota; Metazoa; Chordata; Mammalia; Pholidota; Manidae
Exons: 3
Source: RefSeq, a predicted model, not a curated record
CUCAUAGACUUCCUGUUGCGUGGUCUUAAGCCAUGCAGAGGCCUAAUUAAUUACCCAGAUGCUGGUACAGUGGGAAAUAGGGAGAGGAGGGAGGAGCAAGGUAGUUCUUAUCUGCAUUAUCUGAUCAUAAACCUGAGGACUGACCCAUCUUUCAUCUGCCCGUGUGGUGAUUAGCUUGGGUGACCAAAGCACUCCUACUCUGUAUGAAUAGGAGCAGCACGGCAUAGCGACUGAUUAUGUGAACCAUCUCUAUUUCCCCUCAUUACAUUCUUGCCUUUAUCACCUUAUCAUAUCCAUAUGGCAAAGGAAAGAGGCUGAGAGCUCAAUAUCGGAGUCCAGAAGCACAGUAGGAUGUUCUUGGAAAUCAACUCCAAGACUUCAGGGACAACACAUGGCACCAGACAAAUACAAAGAAUCCACCCUUGAUUCGUCUAGUUGAGGAAGUAAUCAUGGGGAUUGAAGCCAGCUGGGCACCAUGAGGUUAGAAGUACUGGGAACAGUGAUAUUUAAAAACAUUCUUCUGGGAAGGCGUCCAUAGAAUUUACUGGACUGCCAGAGAGAUUGAUGUCACAAGCAAGGAAUAGAACAGCAAAGUUGGAAGAUUCAUACUUCCUAACUUCAAAACUUACUGCAAAGCUACAGUAGUCAAGAGAGUGUGAUGCUCGAAUAAGGAGAGACAUAAAUUAAUGGGUAUGAUUUAGAGUCUAGAAACAAGCUCUUAUGUUUGCUGUCAACUGAUUUUCAACAAGGGUGCCAAAAUAAUGUAAUGGGGAAAGUAUGGCUAUUUUAACAAAUAAUGCUGGGGUAACUGCAUAUCCAUAUACAAAAAAAAAAAAAGAAAGAAAAUGGAGUUGGACCACUUGUCCUGCCACACACAAAAAUUAACUGAAUCAUAGACUGAAUGGAUCUUAGACCUAAACAAGAGCUUAAGCUAUAAAAUUGUUAUAAGAAAACACGGACUAAAUCUUCAUGACUUUGGGUUAGAUGACUUUAAAUAUAACACCAACAGCACAAGUGACAAAACAAAAGUAAAUUAGAUUUCACCAAAAUUAAAAACUUCUAUGCUGCAAGUGAUGCCAUGAAGAAAGUUAAAAAGGCAACCCACAGAAUAGAAGAAAGUACUUGCAAGUCACAUAUCGGGUAAGGGAUGAGCCUCCAAAUACAGGAAGAACUCUUACAACUCAGUAUCAAAAAGACAACUCAACUAAAAAAUGGGCAAAAGAUUUGGAUAGAUUAUUUCUCCAAAGAUGGUACCUUCAUGACGGAGAAGCACUUGAGAAGAUGCUCAACAUCACUAGCCAUAGGAAAAUGCAAAUCAAAAUCACAAUAAGAUACCAUUUCAUGUGAGGAUGGCUACAAUUAAAAUGACAAGAGAGUAGCAGAUGUCAGCGAGAGUGAGGAGAAAUUGGAGCCCUUGUACCUUGCUGAUUGAGAAUGUAAAAUAGUGCAGCCACUUUGGAAAAACAGUUUGGCAGUUCUUCAAAGUACAAAGCAUAGAGUCAUCACGUGAUCUAGCAAUUCCACUUCUAGAUAUGUGCCCAAGAUAAAUAAAAGCAUAUGUCUACACAAAAACUUGUACACAGGUAUUCGUAGCCAUAUUAUUCAUAAGAAUCCCAAAGUGGAAAAAACCCAUCAGCUUGUGAGUAAACAAAAGUGACACACUCUUACAAUAGAUGCCACAAUACAAGGGAAUGAAGUAUUGAUGCAUGUCACAACUUAAAGCAGUAUAUGGUGUUAAAGAAUUCAGCCACACAUGUGUUGUAUAAUUCCACACGUAGCAAAGACAAAGUAGAUUAAGGAGUAAAAUGGGAGUGACUUCAAAUGGGCACA